RNAcentral lists this ribosomal RNA (936 nucleotides) under Triticum aestivum (bread wheat). RNAcentral's name for it is "partial small subunit ribosomal RNA". Lineage: Eukaryota; Viridiplantae; Streptophyta; Magnoliopsida; Poales; Poaceae. The record is from RNAcentral.
AUGCAGGGCGUCGGUGACCAGGGAGGAGGCAUGGAGAUGAGCUUCGGGGGUGGGGGCGGCCGCGGGGAGUGCUCGUCGUCGUCCGCGGCGGCGGUGGCGGUCGCGGCGGCGUCGGCGGCCGAGGCGGAGGAGCGGCAGCUGCUCAAGGGGGAGAUGGCGGUGCACCCGCUUUGCGAGCAGCUGGUGGCGGCGCACGUCGGGUGCCUGCGCGUGGCCACCCCCAUCGACCACCUCCCGCUCAUCGACGCGCAGCUCGCGCAGUCCAGCGGCCUCCUCCACUCCUACUCCGCCCACCACCGCCCCUUCCUCUCCCCGCACGACAAGCAGGAGCUCGACUCCUUCCUCGCGCAGUACCUGAUGCUGCUGUGCUCGUUCAGGGAGCAGCUGCAGCAGCACGUCCGGGUGCACGCCGUGGAGGCCGUCAUGGCGUGCCGGGAGAUCGAGCAGUCCCUGCAGGACCUGACUGGUGCGUCUUUGGAGGAAGGAACGGGGGCGACAAUGUCCGAGGACGAGGAUGAGGGGCCGCCGAUGAUCAUGGAGGCGGCACCCAUGGAUAUGAGCUCGAAUGGACACGACAUGAUGGGCUUCGGCCCUCUGGUACCCACGGACACAGAGCGUUCCCUCAUGGAGAGGGUCAGGCAAGAACUCAAAAUUGAACUCAAACAGGGUUUCAAGUCAAGGAUUGGAGACGUGAGGGAGGAGAUACUCCGGAAGAGGAGGGCCGGGAAGUUGCCUGGGGACACCACCACCAUACUGAAGCAAUGGUGGCAGGAACACGCCAAGUGGCCCUACCCUACGGAAGACGAUAAGGCCAAGCUUGUUGAAGAGACUGGCCUGCAGCUGAAGCAAAUCAACAACUGGUUCAUCAAUCAGAGGAAGCGCAACUGGCACAACAACUCCCAGACAUCAACCCUCAAAUCAAAGCGUAAAAGGUAG